RNAcentral lists this ribosomal RNA (513 nucleotides) under uncultured bacterium. RNAcentral describes it as "bacterial SSU rRNA". It matches the Rfam family "Bacterial small subunit ribosomal RNA", at positions 8 to 526 of the family's 1533-position model. The record is from RNAcentral.
AGAGUUUGAUCAUGGCUCAGGACGAACGCUGGCGGCGUGCCUAACACAUGCAAGUCGAACGGGACCGGGGGCAACUUCGGUUCAGUGGCGGACGGGUGCGUAACACGUGAGGAACAUGACCUUCGGCGGAGGAUAGCCGGCCCAACGGCCGGGUAAUACCGCGUACGACCUUUCGGGGACAUCCCUGGAUGGUGAAAGCAGCAAUGCGCCGAUGGAGUGCCUCGCGGCCUAUCAGCUAGUUGGUGGGGUAACGGCCUACCAAGGCGACGACGGGUAGCUGGUCUGAGAGGAUGGCCAGCCACAUUGGGACUGAGACACGGCCCAGACUCCUACGGGAGGCAGCAGUGGGGAAUAUUGCGCAAUGGACGAAAGUCUGACGCAGCGACGCCGCGUGUGGGAUGACGGUCUUCGGAUUGUAAACCACUGUCGGGAGGGACGAAUACGCCGCAAGGCGGGUGACGGUACCUCCAAAGGAAGCACCGGCUAACUCCGUGCCAGCAGCGGCGGUAAUUC